This 493-nucleotide ribosomal RNA is filed under the name uncultured bacterium. Its description in RNAcentral is "partial 16S ribosomal RNA". It matches the Rfam family "Bacterial small subunit ribosomal RNA", at positions 29 to 523 of the family's 1533-position model. The record is from RNAcentral.
AGCGAACGCUGGCGGCAGGCUUAACACAUGCAAGUCGAACGGUAACAGGUUAAGCUGACGAGUGACGAACGGGUGAGUAAUGCAUCGGAACGUGCCCGAUCGUGGGGGAUAACGCAGCGAAAGCUGCGCUAAUACCGCAUACGAUCUGAGGAUGAAAGCGGGGGACCGUAAGGCCUCGCGCGAUCGGAGCGGCCGAUGUCAGAUUAGGUAGUUGGUGGGGUAAAGGCCCACCAAGCCGGCGAUCUGUAGCUGGUCUGAGAGGACGACCAGCCAAACUGGGACUGAGACACGGCCCAGACUCCUACGGGGGGCAGCAGUGGGGAAUUUUGGACAAUGGGGGCAACCCUGAUCCAGCCAUUCCGCGUGAGUGAAGAAGGCCUUCGGGUUGUAAAGCUCUUUCGCAAGGGAAGAAAACUUGCCAUCUAAUAUAUGGUGAGGUUGACGGUACCUUGAUAAGAAGCACCGGCUAACUACGUGCCAGCAGCCGCCGUAA